Molecule: ribosomal RNA, 495 nt
Filed under: uncultured Bradyrhizobiaceae bacterium
Lineage: Bacteria; Pseudomonadati; Pseudomonadota; Alphaproteobacteria; Hyphomicrobiales; Nitrobacteraceae
Description: bacterial SSU rRNA
Rfam family: Bacterial small subunit ribosomal RNA
Source: RNAcentral
UGAGUGAUGAAGGCCUUCGGGUUGUAAAGCUCUUUUGUCCGGGAAGAUAAUGACGGUACCACAAGAAUAAGCCCCGGCUAACUUCGUGCCAGCAGCCGCGGUAAUACUAAGGGGGCUAGCGUUGUUCGGAAUUACUGGGCGUAAAGGGUGCGUAAGCGGGUCUUUAAGUCAGGUGUGAAAUCCUGGAGCUCAACUCCAGAUCUGCCUUUGAUACUGAAGAUCUUGAGUUCGGGAGAGGUGAGUGGAAUUGCGAGUGUAGAGGUGAAAUUCGUAUAUAUUCGCAAGAACACCAGUGGCGAAGGCGGCUCACUGGCCCGAUACUGACGCUGAGGCACGAAAGCGUGGGGAGCAAACAGGAUUAAAUACCCUGGUAGUCCACGCCAUAAACGAUGAAUGCUAGCCGUUAGUGGGUUUACUCCCUAGUGGCGCAGCUAACGCUUUAAGCAUUCCGCCUGGGGAGUACGGUCGCAAGAUUAAAACUCAAAGGAAUUGACG